CCUACGGGUGGCAGCAGUAGGGAAUUUUGCGCAAUGGAGGAAACUCUGACGCAGCAACGCCGCGUGAACGAUGAAGGCCUUCGGGGUGUAAAGUUCUGUAAGUGGGGACGAAACAAGACGGUACCCACAGAGUAAGCACCGGCUAACUCCGUGCCAGCAGCCGCGGUAAUACGGGGGGUGCAAGCGUUAUCCGGAAUUAUUGGGUGUAAAGGGUGCGUAGAUGGGAAGUGAAGUCGGGUGUGAAAGGCCUCGGCUUAACUGAGGAACUGCAAGGGAAACUGGCGGUCUUGAGUGCGGGAGAGGAAAGUGGAAUUCCUGGUGUAGCGGUGAAAUGCGUAGAUAUCAGGAGGAACACCAGUGGCGUAAGCGAUUUUCUGGGCAGUAACUGACGCUGAGGCACGAAAGUGGGGGUAGCAAACAGGAUUAGAUACCCUAGUAGUC
RNAcentral lists this ribosomal RNA (441 nucleotides) under uncultured bacterium. Its description in RNAcentral is "partial 16S ribosomal RNA". It matches the Rfam family "Bacterial small subunit ribosomal RNA", at positions 338 to 795 of the family's 1533-position model. The record is from RNAcentral.